CAAAGAUCACAUUAAAAUAGGAGCCUACCAGCACUGCUUCCUCAUACUGGCUUCAUUCUCCCAGGCCAGCUGUUCCCACAAGUUCAAUCCAUGGCUUCAGCCCAAACCAUAAGGUCCAUCUCACCUUCACUGCAACAAAGAAGGGUUGUUAAAGCUGGACACAGAUUUGCUUGGCUUCACCCUCUGAUGUGUUCCACACCACUUCAUGCCACU
This is a long non-coding RNA of Homo sapiens (human), 213 nucleotides long. Lineage: Eukaryota; Metazoa; Chordata; Mammalia; Primates; Hominidae. The record is from Ensembl.